RNAcentral lists this ribosomal RNA (400 nucleotides) under uncultured bacterium. RNAcentral's name for it is "bacterial SSU rRNA". It matches the Rfam family "Bacterial small subunit ribosomal RNA", at positions 355 to 752 of the family's 1533-position model. The record is from RNAcentral.
UAAGGAAUAUUGGUCAAUGGACGGAAGUCUGAACCAGCCAUGCCGCGUGCAGGAAGACGGCCCUAUGGGUUGUAAACUGCUUUUGUACCGGAAUAAACCUACUUACGUGUAAGUAGCUGAAUGUACGGUAAGAAUAAGGAUCGGCUAACUCCGUGCCAGCAGCCGCGGUAAUACGGAGGAUCCGAGCGUUAUCCGGAUUUAUUGGGUUUAAAGGGUGCGUAGGCGGCCUUGUAAGUCAGGGGUGAAAGACGGCAGCUCAACUGUCGCAGUGCCUUUGAUACUGCAGGGCUUGAAUACACUUGAAGUAGGCGGAAUGUGACAAGUAGCGGUGAAAUGCAUAGAUAUGUCACAGAACACCGAUUGCGAAGGCAGCUUACUAAAGUGUGAUUGACGCUGAGGC